Molecule: ribosomal RNA, 479 nt
Filed under: uncultured bacterium
Lineage: Bacteria
Description: partial 16S ribosomal RNA
Rfam family: Bacterial small subunit ribosomal RNA
Source: RNAcentral
AUGAACGCUGGCGGCGUGCUUAACACAUGCAAGUCGAACGAAGCAUUUAAGACAGAUUACUUCGGUUUGAAGUCUUUUAUGACUGAGUGGCGGACGGGUGAGUAACGCGUGGGUAACCUGCCUCAUACAGGGGGAUAGCAGCUGGAAACGGCUGGUAAUACCGCAUAAGCGCACAGUACCACAUGGUACAGUGUGAAAAACUCCGGUGGUAUGAGAUGGACCCGCGUCUGAUUAGCUUGUUGGCGGGGUAACGGCCCACCAAGGCGACGAUCAGUAGCCGACCUGAGAGGGUGACCGGCCACAUUGGGACUGAGACACGGCCCAGACUCCGACGGGAGGCAGCAGUGGGGAAUAUUGCACAAUGGAGGAAACUCUGAUGCAGCGACGCCGCGUGAGUGAAGAAGUAGUUCGCUAUGUAAAGCUCUAUCAGCAGGGAAGAUAGUGACGGUACCUGACUAAGAAGCUCCGGCUAAAUACGU